RNAcentral lists this ribosomal RNA (369 nucleotides) under Pihiella liagoraciphila. RNAcentral describes it as "bacterial LSU rRNA". It matches the Rfam family "Bacterial large subunit ribosomal RNA", at positions 2099 to 2465 of the family's 2925-position model. The record is from RNAcentral. Lineage: Eukaryota; Rhodophyta; Florideophyceae; Pihiellales; Pihiellaceae.
CUUUACUGUAUCUUGGAAUUGGAUUUGGGCAUAUUUUGCGCAGUAUAGGUGGGAGGCUGAGAAAACUUGUUUGUGGAUAAGUUGGAGCCAAUAAUGAGAUACCACUCUGAAUAUGUUAAAGUCCUAACUUUGAAAGCCGUUAUCCGGCCAGAGAACAGUUUCAGGUGGGCAGUUUGACUGGGGCGGUCGCCUCCUAAAAAGUAACGGAGGCGUGCAAAGGUUCCUUCAGGCUGGUCGGAAAUCAGUCGUAGAGUAUAAAGGCAUAAAGGAGCUUGACUGCAAGACCUACAAGUCGAGCAGAGACGAAAGUCGGCCUUAGUGAUCCGACAGUACCGAGUGGAAGGGCUGUCGCUCAACGGAUAAAAGUUA